Molecule: long non-coding RNA, 431 nt
Filed under: Apteryx owenii (little spotted kiwi)
Lineage: Eukaryota; Metazoa; Chordata; Aves; Apterygiformes; Apterygidae
Description: lncRNA (ENSAOWG00000009486.1)
Source: RNAcentral
AGCAGAUCUGCUUUUUUGGGGGGCGAUAACUCUGUGCCUUGCAGGGUUGCCCUCUAUAUCACAAGAGCAGGAGAAGCCAGGAAAAUGCGUCAGUUUUCAUCUUUAGAGGUGGAAAAUGCUAAAGCUUCAGUCCUGACGUUGAAUGCUCAGGGGCAAAUCCUACGGCUGUGAAGAACAGAAGUAGUUUCACUGAGGUUUCUUCCAGAAGUCCUGCCCUUUGGAAGAGGCGCAGCUGUAUGGCUGCUUCCGUAUUAUUCUCCCAUUUCCUAUCCCCUCUGCGGCUGCGUCCAGCCCUCCUGUUGAAUGCUGCCAGGUUCAGUGCGACUCCCAGGAGGUGCAGCAGGACCAAGAAUGAACAGCUAAAAAUGAAAGCCAGUCUUCUGCCUUUCAGCCAGGAGACUCUAAACUAUGAGACCACCGCUGACCCCUGA